CAACAGAAACCAACAAAAACCGAACAGAAGAACGCGCACCGAGUGAAGAUAUCAACGCCAGAUCGCUCAAUAUCGAACCGAACCUAACCGAAACGCUAAUCCGAACCAGACGCGAUGCACUGCAGCCAAAAGCAUAACGAAAACACGACGACCAAUCUUUGCUAGGGUCUGAAAAACCACA
This 181-nucleotide small RNA is filed under the name Drosophila erecta. RNAcentral describes it as "GG26196". Lineage: Eukaryota; Metazoa; Arthropoda; Insecta; Diptera; Drosophilidae. The record is from RNAcentral.